ACCUGGCUGGCUCAGUCAGUAGAGCGUGCAACUCUUGAUCUCAGGGUCAUGAGUUCAAGCCCCAUGUUGGGCA
Felis catus (domestic cat) is the source of this 73-nucleotide non-coding RNA. Lineage: Eukaryota; Metazoa; Chordata; Mammalia; Carnivora; Felidae. The record is from Rfam.